This 4612-nucleotide long non-coding RNA is filed under the name Homo sapiens (human). Its description in RNAcentral is "HSALNT0312197". Lineage: Eukaryota; Metazoa; Chordata; Mammalia; Primates; Hominidae. The record is from RNAcentral.
CAGACUUGGAACACUCAGGAAUACAGACAGACGUAGGAAUUGCUUAAAAACAAGAAGUUCUCCCACCCUUGUUGGAGCGAAUGCGCGAGUCUGACAGUGAACCUUUUGGGAAAGAGCCAGCAUUGUAACCGUGCUCGGUGACUUCUCUGGCUUUAUAGGGAACAGAUGUGAGGAUAGCAAGGGGCGCACACGUGAAAUGCCUGGCAGGUACCCCUUUGUGGCUCUACUUACUUCUUGCCAUUCCUCUGCCCUCCAAGUGUAGAGGGGACACCGUGGGCCUUGGCAGUCGCGUUCCGACUCCGGUCUGGUGUAUGGGUUGCACUCGGUCUCUCUGGCUAUUUUGUGUGUUCCGAUCUGACAGCCCACAUGCCUCUGCUGUACGCCUCGGCCACAGGACACAGAGCACUAAGAAGACAGAGAACAUUCACAGUCUGGUGAGACAAGUUUGAGAUCUCAUAUUUUCAGCUCAUCCUUGAAAACCUUUCUUCGAUUUGACUGACCUUGAUGGCUCCCUGGAAUCUCACCUACAUUUUAUGGGAAAUUCAACUCUCCAGAGAGAAGAGCUUUCAGAUAGCUGCGGGACUUGCAACUGUGACUUUCAGCUUUCGCUUUUGAAUGAGGCUCCAAAUGUCUCAAUGGUGGCACUAUUUCCAGAUUUGGGGUAAGCCAAUUCUUUGUUGUUGGGGUUGUGCUGUGCAUUGUAGACUAUUAAGCAGCAUUCCUGGCCUCUACCCACUAGAUGCCCAUAGCACCUGCAUCCCCAUUGUAACAACCAAAACUGUCUCCAGACAUUGCCAAAUGUCCACCGCAGGCUAAAAUCACCUCCCAAUUGAGAACUAUUGAAUUAUACUAAGGUUCUCAGAAAGUCCUUCAGCAAGUUCUCAAAACUGAAUUGAUUCAAAUUGACUUGGUGAGGUCAGGGCACACAGAGAUUCUUUGUUGAUGGGAGUUGUAAAGGGCCUGCUGAACAUCCGCUCAAUGAAGUCAGGGGCUCCAGCUAAAAGGGUUAGGAAGCCCCCAUCUAUAGAAAACGUGCCGUGUACAACGUGAAAUCAAUUCCCAUGCACAACAAUGAAGAUCCCAAUUACAAUGAACAAACACGUUCUUCUGAACAGAACUUCCUCCCUGACAUUAUGUCCAUGACCCUGCACCCUGCGGGGGGCUCGGAUAUGUUACGUCUGAUUCAAAGACAACCAAAAAGAAGGAAAUAAUGAUUUCACCAAGAAAGGACACAUACCAAGGCAGGAAUAGACAUUAAGUUUUGCAAAAUUAAAUGACUACAUUUACAGUCAUGGAGGAGAGACAUUGCCUCAACUCGGUUUCUUCUGAUGUGUCUUUGAAACAGAGCCCUGCAAAGCUAAUCUGCUCAACCUUCACCUACUGGGUUCAAUGAAUAUGAAAAGCUGCCUUCCUGAAACUUUUCCUUCAAAGAGGGAAUGAUCUCCUGGAAUUCAAGCUUCUACAAGGUGGCUACCUGGUGUUUUCCACUUUUGCCGUCUCCUAAAAAGCAUCAUUCAAGCCUUGCCCUUUCAACCCACUGAACACAUAAACAUGCUUUCUCCUUAACUGAACUUAUGGCCACGAUGAACUUGAACUCUGAGAUUCACAGAGGAGAGUUUGUUUUAACAGCUGCUUUUACAAUGAAGCCCUGGAGUUACUACUCUCAAGACCCCUGGUUCUGAUAGGCCAUCUUUUCACUGUCCUCUGCAUUUUCUAAUGCCCAGCUGUCAAGGAACACCCACUGAAGUUUUCCAAAACAAAGGCACGAAACACAAGAAAGGCAAGAGAAUGCUAAUCACCAGAUGCAUGGGCAUCCUAUGGGGGAACCCCUUACAUGUGGAAUACGGUUUUUCUCCCCAAUUUAUUUUUAUAAAUUUAUUGAUUUCUUUGCUAGUUUGUUAUUAAUUGUUAGAGAUGUCCUGUUGCCUGAGGUUGCCCUGUCCGAUAUGGUAGCCACCAGCGACAGGUAGCUAUUUAGAGUAAUUUAAAAAUUACAUUAAAAAUGCAGUUUCCUUGUCACUUAACCAUGUUUCAAGUGCUCAGUAUUAACCACAUGUGACUAGUGGCUUCCAUAAAGGAAGGCAAAAAUAGAGAACAUUUACAUCGCUGCAGAAAGCUACUAGAUUUUUUUGGCCAAGGCAUAAGCUCUUUCUCAUAAGAGAAAGGGGAUGCAGAUCUUGCUAAGAGUGAUGGAUUUCUGGGUUCAGCCUACAUGAGUCAUCUUCCAUACUACCCCUGGACAUGCUUUCCUUGGCUGCCAAUUUUCUAUUUUAUAAAUUUCAGGAAAGAGAGAUUAUGGUUGUUAAAACCAUUCAUGACAAUGAUCCCACUUUAGAGAAAACAACAGCAACAAGCAAAGAAGAUGGUGUGGAGAUCCGCACAUUCCACAUCUUUUAAUUGGUACCCAUUAAAUAACAAAGGGAAAAAGUACCCUCAGACCACAACUCUCCACCUUGUGUGGAGGCCAAGGACCCAGCAGGGAGAAGGCAGAAGAUUAGGUUCUCCACUCAUCCUGGCUCUCAGACCACUGAACUCACAUUUGGGUUCUAAUGGAAUGGUGAUUGGAAGCAUAUUCUCCAAUAGGAGGUUUUUAAAAGUUCUGUGCCAUCAGCCAGGCAGCAUCUGUCAUUUAAAAUGACUGGCCAGUUGCACGUUUAAAAGCAAAGAUAAAAUUGCUAAUUUAUACUUACUGAAUAAACAUCAGCAGUAUCCAUGAAGGUACCUACCCUAAUAGCAAGUUGUAUUUUUAUUUUUAUGGUGGUGGCGAAGCUGCCAGGAAAACCAAAGCAUCAGUUCUUUAAUUACAUUUGUUUAGUAUUGAUUUAAUACUAAAAUUUCUCUUGCUCCCUUAGAACAAAGAGCUCUAACUUGUACACUGCUGUAUCCUUAGCACCUGGAACAGUCCCUGGCCUACAAUAGGCACUUAGAAAGUAUUUGUUAAAAAUUGAUUUUUUUUUUUUAAAGAAACAACCCAGAGUUUUUUUAUUCUGCCCCAACCCCCAACCCCUGGCAUUAAAAUAAAUCUUCCUCAACUGCCAUCACUAAUCGCCAGGAUUCCCUCCUAGCCAAUUAUGCUUGGACUCAACCUCUACCUCCCACUCCACAUUCCAAAGUUUCUAUUUCUUUCCAUUCCAGAAGGGCAACUCCACAACAGGAGUGAGGGAGAGGACCUGGACUCCUCCUCAGAGUCCAAUAACACUCCUAACCCUGCUCCCCCAACCUGUGGACUUUUUAAAUCCAUGAAAAUAGAACCUGUCAAGCUACCACAAAAUAGCAUCAGAAGGCAGGAUCAGUCUUUCAUAGGCAUACAAUCUCUGUAAAUACUGAAAAAAGAUUAUUAAAAGCCUGCUAAGUUUUGUCUCCAGUGAAAUAGAUGCAGGCAAGUAUUUUGAUUGUUCUGAACACAUUAGAGAUGAGUGCUACACAGAACUAAGGUAAACUUUGUAAAUUCGUAUGUCAUAACACUUUGUUCCACAAAAAACUAUCUUAUUUUUUAUACUCCAUACUGAUACAGCCAAAUAAUGUGGCUCUUAUUUUCUAAAGAUGCCAGCAAUAUGUUUAAACAUGUCUUCAUUGUAGUAAAAGUAUCAUAUUUAUAAAAAAUACAUAUGCAUUUAAUGUGAUAUUCCUUAUAGUCAAAAUCUUGAUAUCAUCCUGUUAAUCUGGCUAAAAAUGUAUCUGUAAAAUGAAAGAGAGGAAUAUUUUGCCAUUCCCUAAACAACAGUUGUUUGAAGCUUUUGUAAUUGCUGGUUAUGGGAAUUUACCAAUAACAGGAAUGAAUUUGGAUUUUCUUUUGCUGGAAUCAAAUGGACAAUGUCAUAAUUAGCUAAAUAAUGUUGAGGCUAAAUGAAGUUUGAGUUUUAGGCACAUCCUUUAUGGAAUAUAAACAGGAACCUAAAAGUUCAUUCUGAACAUAGGUUGUUUCUUUCUGCCAAAACAAGAUUAAUAGUCAGUACCCUAACGACAAGGUCCUAUCACUGAAGUAGAUUAUCGGCUAGUCAAAUGGGUUCCUAACAGCACCUCCCUCAUGGGUUAAAACAAGAGGGUUAAUGUGAUGUGUAUUUGCUUAAUUUGGCUUGUUAUACAGUAAACACACAGCAAACGUUAGCUAUUGUUAUCUUCAUUUCCUUUGGAGAAGUUAUCUUAUUUCUCACCUUAUUAAAAAUAAACCCUAACUCAUACAGGGACCCUCCUUACCUUGGUCCUUUCACCCAUGAAUACCAUAAUAACCUAUACUGCAAAAAGGAGGCUCAGGAGGAGGAUGAGGUAUCAAUAGGCCUCCGGGUCAUUUUUAUGAUUUAGGUAUUUUUUGAAAAGGGUAGGCUCUCUUGAAACUUCCAAGGUAGUUGUUGUAGUAUUUUAUUUUCCUUUCAUAAGAAAUGCUUUCUGAAAUGUAUUGCAGUGAACAAAUAACAAAAUUGACAAAUGCUGUAAGCCUUUUACAGUUAUCUGAACACACAGAAUAAAGUGUAAUCAAAUUUGUGCACAUUAGGUUUGCUUUUUCCUGUACCUAGCUGUCUCUUAUGUGUUCAGAACCAUUUCUUCCAAUCACCUUUUUUUGUCUUCUGGCUAUAAUUUAUCAUUAUCUACAAAUUCAAUAAAUGGAGCAUGC